GACGAACGCUGGCGGCGUGCUUAACACAUGCAAGUCGAACGGAAAGGCCCUGCUUUUGUGGGUUGCUCGAGUGGCGAACGGGUGAGUAACACGUGAGUAACCUGCCCUUGACUUUGGGAUAACUUCAGGAAACUGGGGCUAAUACCGGAUAGGAGCUCCUGCUGCAUGGUGGGGGUUGGAAAGUUUCGGCGGUUGGGGAUGGACUCGCGGCUUAUCAGCUUGUUGGUGGGGUAGUGGCUUACCAAGGCUUUGACGGGUAGCCGGCCUGAGAGGGUGACCGGCGACAUGGGGACUGAGAUACGGACCAGACUCCUACGGGAGGCAGCAGUGGAGAAUAUUGCACAAUGGGCGGAAGCCAGAGGCAGCAACGCCGCGUGCGGGAUGACGGCCUUCGGGUUGUAAACCGCUUUCGCAUGUGACGAAGCGGGAGUGACGGUAAUGGGUAAAGAAGCAACGGCUAACUACGUG
RNAcentral lists this ribosomal RNA (468 nucleotides) under uncultured bacterium. Its description in RNAcentral is "partial 16S ribosomal RNA". It matches the Rfam family "Bacterial small subunit ribosomal RNA", at positions 28 to 507 of the family's 1533-position model. The record is from RNAcentral.